RNAcentral lists this ribosomal RNA (291 nucleotides) under Triticum aestivum (bread wheat). RNAcentral describes it as "partial small subunit ribosomal RNA". The record is from RNAcentral. Lineage: Eukaryota; Viridiplantae; Streptophyta; Magnoliopsida; Poales; Poaceae.
AUGAAGAGAGUACGAGCCUGGGUGCAAGAUUACAAGCUAUUUGGGGAUAAGAAGGAGGUCCAAAGCGUGUCAGAAACUAGGUGGAAGUUGCCAGGUGAGAACGCCCUUAAAAUUAAUAUUGAUGGAAGUAUGUCUCGAGAACAGGGUACUGGUGGCUGGGGCUUCAUUAUCAGAGAUGCACAAGGUCAAGCAGUAGGCUUGGGACUCCCUUCCCCAGCCGUACGGCCGUAUGGAGCUCCUGAUUUCGUGCACAACUUGAUUGCCAGCGAUCUUGCUGAGCUCUUUGGUUAA